CAGCAGCCGCGGUAAUACGGAGGGUGCAAGCGUUAAUCGGAAUUACUGGGCGUAAAGCGCACGCAGGCGGUCUGACAAGUCAGAUGUGAAAUCCCCGGGCUUAACCUGGGAACUGCAUUUGAAACUGUCAGGCUGGAGUCUUGUAGAGGGGGGUGGAAUUCCAGGUGUAGCGGUGAAAUGCGUAGAGAUCUGGAGGAAUACCGGUGGCGAAGGCGGCCCCCUGGACAAAGACUGACGCUCAGGUGCGAAAGCGUGGGGAGCAAACAGGAUUAGAGACCCGCGUAGUCCCUGUCUCUUAUCC
Molecule: ribosomal RNA, 301 nt
Filed under: uncultured bacterium
Lineage: Bacteria
Description: partial 16S ribosomal RNA
Rfam family: Bacterial small subunit ribosomal RNA
Source: RNAcentral